UACGUAGGAGGCGAGCGUUGUCCGGAAUCACUGGGCGUAAAGCGCGUGUAGGCGGCGCGGCAAGUCUGCUGUGAAAGCGCCCGGCUUAACUGGGCGAGGUCGGCGGAAACUGCCGUGCUCGAGGCCGGUAGAGGCGGGUAGAAUUCCCGGUGUAGUGGUGAAAUGCGUAGAGAUCGGGAGGAAUACCAGUGGCGAAGGCGGCCCGCUGGGCCGAGCCUGACGCUGAGACGCGAAGGCGCGGGGAGCGAACGGG
Molecule: ribosomal RNA, 253 nt
Filed under: uncultured bacterium
Lineage: Bacteria
Description: partial 16S ribosomal RNA
Rfam family: Bacterial small subunit ribosomal RNA
Source: RNAcentral